RNAcentral lists this ribosomal RNA (692 nucleotides) under uncultured bacterium. RNAcentral describes it as "bacterial SSU rRNA". It matches the Rfam family "Bacterial small subunit ribosomal RNA", at positions 44 to 715 of the family's 1533-position model. The record is from RNAcentral.
AUGCUUAACACAUGCAAGUCGAACGGAAACGACAACAUUGAUUCUUCGGAGGAUUUGUUGGGCGUCGAGCGGCGGACGGGUGAGUAAUGCCUAGGAAAUUGCCUUGAUGUGGGGGAUAACCAUUGGAAACGAUGGCUAAUACCGCAUAAUGCCUACGGGCCAAAGAGGGGGAUCUUCGGACCUCUCGCGUCAAGAUAUGCCUAGGUGGGAUUAGCUAGUUGGUGAGGUAAUGGCUCACCAAGGCGACGAUCCCUAGCUGGUCUGAGAGGAUGAUCAGCCACACUGGAACUGAGACACGGUCCAGACUCCUACGGGAGGCAGCAGUGGGGAAUAUUGCACAAUGGGCGAAAGCCUGAUGCAGCCAUGCCGCGUGUAUGAAGAAGGCCUUCGGGUUGUAAAGUACUUUCAGUUGUGAGGAAGGGUGUGUAGUUAAUAGCUGCGCAUCUUGACGUUAGCAACAGAAGAAGCACCGGCUAACUCCGUGCCAGCAGCCGCGGUAAUACGGAGGGUGCGAGCGUUAAUCGGAAUUACUGGGCGUAAAGCGCAUGCAGGUGGUUCAUUAAGUCAGAUGUGAAAGCCCGGGGCUCAACCUCGGAACUGCAUUUGAAACUGGUGAACUAGAGUGCUGUAGAGGGGGGUAGAAUUUCAGGUGUAGCGGUGAAAUGCGUAGAGAUCUGAAGGAACACCAGUGG